CAUUUGAAACUGGCAGACUAGAGUACUGUAGAGGGGGGUAGAAUUUCAGGUGUAGCGGUGAAAUGCGUAGAGAUCUGAAGGAAUACCGGUGGCGAAGGCGGCCCCCUGGACAGAUACUGACACUCAGAUGCGAAAGCGUGGGGAGCAAACAGGAUUAGAUACCUUGGUAGUUCACGCCGUAAACGAUGUCUACUUGGAGGUUGUGGCCUUGAGCCGUGGCUUUCGGAGCUAACGCGUUAAGUAGACCGCCUGGGGAGUACGGUCGCAAGAUUAAAACUCAAAUGAAUUGACGGGGGCCCGCACAAGCGGUGGAGCAUGUGGUUUAAUUCGAUGCAACGCGAAGAACCUUACCUACUCUUGACAUCCAGAGAACUUUCCAGAGAUGGAUUGGUGCCUUCGGGAACUCUGAGACAGGUGCUGCAUGGCUGUCGUCAGCUCGUGUUGUGAAAUGUUGGGUUAAGUCCCGCAACGAGCGCAACCCUUAUCCUUGUUUGCCAGCGAGUAAUGUCGGGAACUCCAGGGAGACUGCCGGUGAUAAACCGGAGGAAGGUGGGGACGACGUCAAGUCAUCAUGGCCCUUACGAGUAGGGCUACACACGUGCUACAAUGGCGCAUACAGAGGGCGGCCAACUUGCGAAAGUGAGCGAAUCCCAAAAAGUGCGUCGUAGUCCGGAUUGGAGUCUGCAACUCGACUCCAUGAAGUCGGAAUCGCUAGUAAUCGUGGAUCAGAAUGCCACGGUGAAUACGUUCCCGGGCCUUGUACACACCGCCCGUCACACCAUGGGAGUGGGCUGCAAAAGAAGUAGGUAGUUAACCUUCGGGAACGCGACCACUCGUCAUAAUAACAUA
This 849-nucleotide ribosomal RNA is filed under the name Vibrio hepatarius. RNAcentral's name for it is "bacterial SSU rRNA". It matches the Rfam family "Bacterial small subunit ribosomal RNA", at positions 624 to 1473 of the family's 1533-position model. The record is from RNAcentral. Lineage: Bacteria; Pseudomonadati; Pseudomonadota; Gammaproteobacteria; Vibrionales; Vibrionaceae.